GACGAAGGAUGCAAGCGUUAUCCGGAUUCAUUGGGUUUAAAGGGAGCGUAGGUGGUCUACUAAGUCAGUGGUGAAAUCUCUCGGCUUAACUGAGAAAUUGCCAUUGAUACUGGUGGACUUGAGUGUAGUUGCCGUUGGCGGAAUAUGACAUGUAGUGGUGAAAUACAUAGAGAUGUCAUAGAACACCGAUUGCGAAGGCAGCUGACGAAACUAUAACUGACACUGAGGCUCGAAAGUGCGGGGAUCAAACAGG
This 253-nucleotide ribosomal RNA is filed under the name uncultured prokaryote. RNAcentral describes it as "partial 16S ribosomal RNA". It matches the Rfam family "Bacterial small subunit ribosomal RNA", at positions 524 to 776 of the family's 1533-position model. The record is from RNAcentral.